RNAcentral lists this transfer RNA (69 nucleotides) under Heterocephalus glaber (naked mole-rat). It matches the Rfam family "tRNA". From Rfam's summary of the family: Transfer RNA (tRNA) molecules are approximately 80 nucleotides in length. Their secondary structure includes four short double-helical elements and three loops (D, anti-codon, and T loops). The record is from Rfam by way of RNAcentral. Lineage: Eukaryota; Metazoa; Chordata; Mammalia; Rodentia; Bathyergidae.
GGGAAUGUAGCUCAGCAGUGCAGCAUCUGCCUGGCAAGCACGAGGCCCUGAGUUCGAUUCCCAGUACCA